This 429-nucleotide ribosomal RNA is filed under the name Bacteroidota bacterium. RNAcentral describes it as "Bacteroidetes bacterium partial 16S ribosomal RNA". It matches the Rfam family "Bacterial small subunit ribosomal RNA", at positions 355 to 776 of the family's 1533-position model. Lineage: Bacteria; Pseudomonadati; Bacteroidota. The record is from RNAcentral. RNAcentral also lists the same sequence under 1 other name.
UAGGGAAUCUUCGGCAAUGGGGGGAACCCUGACCGAGCAACGCCGCGUGAGUGAAGAAGGUUUUCGGAUCGUAAAGCUCUGUUGUUAAGGAAGAACGAGUGUGAGAAUGGAAAGUUCAUGCUGUGACGGUACUUAACCAGAAAGGGACGGCUAACUACGUGCCAGCAGCCGCGGUAAUACGUAGGGGGCUAGCGUUGUCCGGAAUCACUGGGCGUAAAGGGUUCGCAGGCGGAAAUGCAAGUCAGGUGUAAAAGGCAGUAGCUUAACUACUGUAAGCAUUUGAAACUGCAUAUCUUGAGAAGAGUAGAGGUAAGUGGAAUUUUUAGUGUAGCGGUGAAAUGCGUAGAUAUUAAAAAGAAUACCGGUGGCGAAGGCGACUUACUGGGCUCAUUCUGACGCUGAGGAACGAAAGCGUGGGUAGCAAACAGG